RNAcentral lists this transfer RNA (64 nucleotides) under Wetmorena haetiana. Its description in RNAcentral is "Celestus haetianus tRNA-Cys". Lineage: Eukaryota; Metazoa; Chordata; Lepidosauria; Squamata; Diploglossidae. The record is from RNAcentral.
AAGCCCAGGAAAACUUAGUUUUCUAUUUUAAGUUUGCAACUUAACGUGUCAACACCUCAAGGCU